This 229-nucleotide ribosomal RNA is filed under the name uncultured bacterium. RNAcentral's name for it is "partial 16S ribosomal RNA". It matches the Rfam family "Bacterial small subunit ribosomal RNA", at positions 568 to 796 of the family's 1533-position model. The record is from RNAcentral.
UCCGUAGGUGGAUAAUUAAGUUAGGGGUGAAAGUCUGCAGCUCAACUGUAGAAUUGCCCUUAAUACUGGUUAUCUUGAAUUAUUGUGAAGUGGUUAGAAUAUGUAGUGUAGCGGUGAAAUGCAUAGAUAUUACAUAGAAUACCAAUUGCGAAGGCAGAUCACUAACAAUAUAUUGACACUGAUGGACGAAAGCGUGGGGAGCAAACCGGAUUAGAGACCCGAGUAGUCC